GGUUUUGGCUUCUGGAUUGUAGAGAGAGCUAAUAGAGGUGCCUCAGGCUGCCUCCCACCCAUGAUCCUGAGGACUGGAGUUAGAGCUAGAAUUCAGCCCACAGGUUUGGAGUAGGAAAUAAAAUGCCCUAGAACAAAGAGUUGUUACAAAAGACAAGGUUUCAACUAUGUAUCCCUGUCCACCCUGGCAUUCACCAUGUAUUCCAAGGUGACCUAGAACUUCAAGGAAAUCUGCCUGCCUCUACUAACGCAGACCCGCAAAGCCCUUAUCACAAUAAAGUCUUAAAAUCAGGAAAUGAAUCCUGUUCAUUCCAGUUCACUCACUCAUGAUGCCAGGGAUUGUUCAGUUAUCACCGUAAACAGAUUCUGUAAUAGCAGACAUCACCCCACCCUUCACCGGUCCUGAAUGGGGAAAGGUGGGGGCCAUGGGGGAGAAAUAAAAAACCGAUGGGGAACG
Molecule: long non-coding RNA, 456 nt
Filed under: Mus pahari (shrew mouse)
Lineage: Eukaryota; Metazoa; Chordata; Mammalia; Rodentia; Muridae
Description: lncRNA (MGP_PahariEiJ_G0004666.1)
Source: RNAcentral